AAUUUAUUUUUAAUAUGUUCCGUCUGCGUGAAAUCGAGUAUGUCAUUGCUUGUUUAGUUAUUUAGGUUCUUUGCUUAAACCGAAACUAGGUUGUUAGAUGUUGUGUAUGGCUAAGAGCCUAGAGGCACUAGGGUUAAAGUAAAUUUGUAACUACCGGGAAGGUAAGGGCUUUGUAAUAAAAUAAACUACCGGAGGAAGGUAGGGUUAAGGUAAUAAUAUAACUACCGGAGAAGGUAGGGUUGAAGUAUCAACCUAACUACCUGGAGAGGUAGGGUUAAGUUAUAUUGUAAACCACCGGAAAAGGGUGGGGUUAAGGUACGCUGACCACGGCGGGUUAUAGAAAGCGGGGCUGAGGGCCAUGACGGUGACCACGAGGGGGCGGGGUUGGAGUCAAGGCGCUGGGUAGGAUCGAGUUCAACGCCUAUUCUUGGCAGGAAGUGAUUUGCCCGGGUGAAACCUCAUCUGGACCAGGAUGUUUGAGCAUAUCGGACGGCUGAUUGCAUAGGAGCACGUUAUGUAGGACUGGAAUAUGAUUCCUUGGAAGUGCAUAGGUACAGAUAAGGAUGUGCAGGAGUAAGGAUGGAGUGGUGCCAACUUGAAGUGUUUUGGAUUUUUCUUUAUUAAAAAUUUAAACUAUUUGUUUUCUUGUGAUCUUUGGAUUCUUUUUUUAUUCUACUCUCGGCUUUCUUUAUCUAUGUUUUCCAAAAACACUUAAGUAAUAAAAAUGGAUAAGUUGAACCCA
Molecule: long non-coding RNA, 742 nt
Organism: Raphanus sativus (radish)
Lineage: Eukaryota; Viridiplantae; Streptophyta; Magnoliopsida; Brassicales; Brassicaceae
Exons: 2
Source: RefSeq, a predicted model, not a curated record